GAUGAACGCUGGCGGCGUGCCUAAUACAUGCAAGUCGAGCGAACGGACGAGAAGCUUGCUUCUCUGAUGUUAGCGGCGGACGGGUGAGUAGCACGUGGAUAACCUACCUAUAAGACUGGGAUAACUUCGGGAAACCGGAGCUAAUACCGGAUAAUAUCUUGAACCGCAUGGUUCAAAAGUGAAAGACGGUCUUGCUGUCACUUAUAGAUGGAUCCGCGCUGCAUUAGCUAGUUGGUAAGGUAACGGCUUACCAAGGCAACGAUGCAUAGCCGACCUGAGAGGGUGAACGGCCACACUGGAACUGAGACACGGUCCAGACUCCUACGGGAGGCAGCAGUAGGGAAUCUUGCGCAAUGGGCGAAAGCCUGACGGAGCAACGCCGCGUGAGUGAUGAAGGUCUUCGGAUCGUAAAACUCUGUUAUUAGGGAAGAACAUAUGUGUAAGUAACUGUGCACAUCUUGACGGUACCUAAUCAGAAAGCCACGGCUAACUACGUG
Molecule: ribosomal RNA, 497 nt
Filed under: uncultured bacterium
Lineage: Bacteria
Description: partial 16S ribosomal RNA
Rfam family: Bacterial small subunit ribosomal RNA
Source: RNAcentral